ACAAACUGCACAGAGAACAGGGGCAGAGAGAGAUGCAGCGAGAUUCAUGUACUGUGUCCCUGGUGAUGGCGGUUUGUGUUUCCCUUUACCUGGCAGCUCUGGAAUCCCUCUCACCUGAACAGAAAGCAGAGCUGCUGUUGGACCCAUCCACCGGCGCUCUUGAAAAUGAGACCAUGGUGAAGUAGGUGUUGCUACGUAACAUUCAAGUUGCACACCUCCUCAUCCCGUCGGAGUCUGCAAGGAAACACCAAAUGAUGUGUUCCGCUUGAGAUUGGAAGUGUUUCGGGAGGGCCUUGCGACUUCAGCAUCCCUUGGUAUGUCUGUUCUUCG
This is a non-coding RNA of Paramisgurnus dabryanus, 330 nucleotides long. The record is from RefSeq and is a predicted model, not a curated record. Lineage: Eukaryota; Metazoa; Chordata; Actinopteri; Cypriniformes; Cobitidae.